Molecule: small nucleolar RNA, 138 nt
Filed under: Ornithorhynchus anatinus (platypus)
Lineage: Eukaryota; Metazoa; Chordata; Mammalia; Monotremata; Ornithorhynchidae
Source: RNAcentral
AGCCUUUCAGGGUUGUACCUGGAGAGUUUCCAGUACUCUACCAGUUUCGGCUAUGGGAGGGAGAGUCAAGGAGAGGCUUAACCAUUCCAUUCCUAGCUUGGGCAAUGGUUAGCAAGUGGAAGGCAAUCUGCUACAAGU